RNAcentral lists this ribosomal RNA (494 nucleotides) under uncultured bacterium. RNAcentral describes it as "partial 16S ribosomal RNA". It matches the Rfam family "Bacterial small subunit ribosomal RNA", at positions 28 to 507 of the family's 1533-position model. The record is from RNAcentral.
GACGAACGCUGGCGGCGUGCUUAACACAUGCAAGUCGAACGGAAAGGCCUGCUUUCCCUUGUGGAUUGCGGGUACUCGAGUGGCGAACGGGUGAGUAACACGUGAGUGAUCUGCCCCCAACUUGGGUAUAAGCCUGGGAAACUGGGUCUAAUUCCCGAUAGGACUGCAGGGUGGUGCCUGUGGUGGAAAACGAUUUUCUAGUGGUUGGGGGUGAGCUCGCGGCCUAUCAGCUUGUUGGCGGGGUAAUGGCCUACCAAGGCGGCGACGGGUAGCCGGCCUGAGAGGGUGGACGGCCACAUUGGGACUGAGAUACGGCCCAGACUCCUACGGGAGGCAGCAGUGGGGAAGAUUGCACGAUGGGCGGAAGCCUGAUGCAGCGACGCCGCGUGGGGGAUGACGGCCUUCGGGUUGUAAACUCCUUUCGACCGCGAGGAAGCCACCUGGUUGGAAGGGUGGUGACGGUAGUGGUAGAAGAAGCACCGGCUAACUACGUG